AUAAGGUUAAGUUAAUAAGGGCGCACGGUGGAUGCCUUGGCACUAGAAGCCGAAGAAGGACGUGACUAACGACGAAAUGCUUUGGGGAGCUGUAAGUAAGCGCUGAUCCAGAGAUGUCCGAAUGGGGGAACCCACUAGUUAAUGACUAGUAUCCAUAUCUGUUAAGGAUAUGAGAAGGAAGACGCAGUGAACUGAAACAUCUAAGUAGCUGCAGGAAGAGAAAGCAAAAGCGAUUGCCUUAGUAGCGGCGAGCGAAACGGCAGGAGGGCAAACCGAAGUGUUUACACUUCGGGGUUGUAGGACUGCGAUAUAGGAUUAAUCAUUAUAGAAGAAUUACCUGGGAAGGUAAGCCAAAGAGAGUAACAGCCUCGUAUUUAAAAUGAUAGAUUAACCUUAGCAGUAUCCUGAGUACGGCGAGACACGCGAAAUCUCGUCGGAAUCUGGGAGGACCAUCUCCCAACCCUAAAUACUCUCUAGU
RNAcentral lists this ribosomal RNA (478 nucleotides) under Streptococcus agalactiae. RNAcentral describes it as "partial 23S ribosomal RNA". It matches the Rfam family "Bacterial large subunit ribosomal RNA", at positions 1 to 481 of the family's 2925-position model. The record is from RNAcentral. Lineage: Bacteria; Bacillati; Bacillota; Bacilli; Lactobacillales; Streptococcaceae.